GAUCCCAGAGACCCCAAAGUGUCCCAGAGACCCCAAAGUGUCCCAGAGACCCCAAAAGAUCCCAGAGACCCCAAAGUGUCCCAGAGACCCCAAAGUGUCCCAGAGACCCCAAAGUGUCCCAGAGACCCCAAAGGAUCCCAGAGACCCCAAAGGGCUCCAGGACCCCAAAGGAUCCCAAAGAUCCCACAGACCCCAAAGGAUCCCAGAGACCCCAAAAGAUCCCACAGACCCCAAAGUGUCCCAGAGACCCCAAAGGUCCCAGAGACCCCAAAAGGCUCCACAGACCCCAAAGAUCCCACAGACCCCAAAGUGUCCCACAGACCCCAAAGUCCCCCAGACCCCAAAAGGCUCCACAGACCCCCAAAAGGCUCCAGAGACCCUCAGUUUCUAUCGACCCCAAAAGGAUUUUAUGGCCCCUGAAGGGUUUUAGGGACCCCAAAAGUUCCCACAGCCCCCAAGGUUUUAUUGACCCCAAAAGAUUCCACGGACCCCGACGGGUUCUGCAGACCCCAAAAGGAUUUUAUGAACCCCAAAAAGGAUUUUAUGGACCCCAAAAGGAUUUUAUAAACCCCAAAUGAUUUUAUGGACCCCAAAAAGGAUUUUAUGAACCCCAAAAAGGAUUUUAUAAACCCCAAAUGAUUUUAUAAACCCCAAAAAGGAUUUUAUGGACCCCAAAUGAUUUUAUGGACCCCAAAAAGGAUUUUAUAAACCCCAAAAAGGAUUUUUUGAACCCCAAAAAGGAUUUUAUGAACCCCAAAAAGGAUUUUAUAAAACCCAAAAAGGAUUUUAUGGACCCCAAAAAGGAUUUUAUGAACCCCAAAAAGGAUUUUAUGAACCCCAAAAAGGAUUUUAUGGACCCCAAAUGAUUUUAUGGACCCCAAAAAGGAUUUUAUGAACCCCAAAAAGGAUUUUAUGGACCCCAAAUGAUUUUAUGGCCCCUGAAGGAUUUUAAGCCCCCACCCCAAAGGAUUUUAAGGACCCCAAAGGCAUCCACAGACCCCAAAAAGGAUUUUAUGAACCCCAAAAAGGAUUUUAUGAACCCCAAAAAGGAUUUUAUGGACCCCAAAAAGGAUUUUAUAAAACCCAAAAAGGAUUUUAUAAACCCCAAAUGAUUUUAUGGACCCCAAAAAGGAUUUUAUGGACCCCAAAAAGGAUUUUAUGAACCCCAAAAAGGAUUUUAUGGACCCCAAAUGAUUUUAUGGCCCCCCCCAAAGGCAUCCACAGACCCCAAAAAGGAUUUUAUGGAUCCCAAAAGUUUCUGGAGACCCCAAAGAUUUCCAGGGAUGGAUUUUGCAGCCCCAAAGGUCAAAGGUCAGCGGGGUUUUAUGGCUUUGGGGUUUAAUUGCUUUAGGGUUUAAUUGCUUUGGGGUUUAAUUGCUUUGGGGUUUAAUUGCUUUGGGGUUUAAUUGCUUUGGGGUUUUAUGGCUUUGGGGUUUAAUUCCUUUAGGGUUUAAUUGCUUUGGGGUUUAAUUGCUUUGGGGUUUAAUUGCUUUGGGGUUUUAUGGCCCCGGGUUUACACCCCGAUGUGUGAAAGUGCCUCCUGCCAUAAAGAUCUGGGAACUUUUAUGGGUUCGGCGC
This is a long non-coding RNA of Cyanistes caeruleus (blue tit), 1578 nucleotides long. Lineage: Eukaryota; Metazoa; Chordata; Aves; Passeriformes; Paridae. The record is from Ensembl.